GGCUCGAUGGCGGACGGUCUGCAUCUGCCCUUCAUACAUAGACUGCCAUUAUGAAUAUAUCGCAGAACGUCCCCGUUCGACUCGGGGUCGAGCCA
This is a non-coding RNA of Mycena vulgaris, 95 nucleotides long. NCBI's taxonomy places the organism in Eukaryota, Fungi, Basidiomycota, Agaricomycetes, Agaricales, Mycenaceae. The record is from the annotation of a GenBank genome assembly.